Molecule: ribosomal RNA, 429 nt
Filed under: Chloroflexota bacterium
Lineage: Bacteria; Bacillati; Chloroflexota
Description: Chloroflexi bacterium partial 16S ribosomal RNA
Rfam family: Bacterial small subunit ribosomal RNA
Source: RNAcentral
UGGGGAAUAUUGCACAAUGGGCGCAAGCCUGAUGCAGCCAUGCCGCGAGUAUGAAGAAGGACGUCGGGUUGUAAAGUACUUUAAGCGGGGAGGAAGGGAGUAAAGGGAAUACCGUUGCUCAUGGACGGUACCCGGAGAAGAAGCACCGGCUAAAUCGGUGCCAGCAGCGGCGGUAAUACGGAGGGUGCAAGCGGUAAGCGGAAUUACGGGGCGUAAAGCGCACGCAGGCGGUUUGUUAAGUCAGAUGUGAAAUCCCCGGGCUCAACCUGGGAACUGCAUCUGAUACUGGCAAGCUUGAGUCUCGUAGAGGGGGGUAGAAUUCCAGGUGUAGCGGUGAAAUGCGUAGAGAUCUGGAGGAAUACCGGUGGCGAAGGCGGCCCCCUGGACGAAGACUGACGCUCAGGUGCGAAAGCGUGGGGAGCAAACAGG